UUCCAGCUCCAAUAGCGUAUAUUAAAGUUGUUGCAGUUAAAAAGCUCGUAGUUGAAUUUCGGGAUUGACACAUCGGUCGUGCCUUAAGGGGUAUGAACUGGUGUAGUCAAUUUCUCACCUUCUGGAGAACCGCGAUGUCCUUAAUUGGGUGCCGCGAGGAACCAGGACCUUUACUUUGAAAAAAUUAGAGUGUUUAAAGCAGGCAUUUUUGCUUGAAUACAUUAGCAUGGAAUAAUAAAAUAGGACGGCAUGAUUCUAUUUUGUUGGUUUCUAGGAUCACCGUAAUGAUUAAUAGGGAUAGUUGGGGGCAUUAGUAUUCAAUUGUCAGAGGUGAAAUUCUUGGAUUUAUUGAAGACUAACUACUGCGAAAGCAUUUGCCAAGGAUGUUUUCAUUAAUCAAGAACGAAAGUUAGGGGAUCGAAGACGAUCAGAUACCGUCGUAGUCUUAACCAUAAACUAUGCCGACUAGGAAUCAGACGAUGUUAAUUUU
Molecule: ribosomal RNA, 490 nt
Filed under: uncultured Glomus
Lineage: Eukaryota; Fungi; Glomeromycota; Glomeromycetes; Glomerales; Glomeraceae
Description: SSU rRNA
Rfam family: Eukaryotic small subunit ribosomal RNA
Source: RNAcentral